ACUGCCAGGGAUCCAGGGGCAGCCACAGCUGCUCUGGGCACCCUGUGCCAGGGCCUGCCCACCCUCACAGGGAACAAUUCCUUCCCAAAAUCCCAUCUAACCCUGUCCUCUGCCAUCAGGAAGCCAUUCCCUUGUCCUGACACUCCAGGCCCUUGUCCAUCUUUUUUGUAGCUUCCCUCAGGCCCUGGAAGGCCACAGUUACAUCACCCCAAGGCCUUCUCCUCUCCAGGCUGGACAAUCCCAGUUCCCUCAGCUUUUCCUCACAGCAGAACUGCUCCAUCCCUCUGAUCAUCUCUGAGGUUUGAGAAAGAGAAGGCAAGGAAGGCACAUCCAUCCCUCUGAGGCAAUUGCAAAAGACUGUAUGUGUCAGCCUCCAUCUAUGUAAAUACCAGCAUUUUUGGAAAGUGGAGAGGGAAUUAAAUGUUUUUGGGUUUUAUCCUCUUUUUGCCCUCUUUUUUGAGACAUGGCAGCACUGAUUGUUGUUACAGGAAUAUACUGAAUCAGCCACUGCGGGCAAUUAACUCAAUAAAUGACUACCAGGGGGAUGCUCUGAUGCUGUUUCCAUGUGAAUCCAAGAUCUGUGAAAAGCUGGAAGAGCACUCGGCAGGACAGUGCUGAAAGUGGGGAUGUGUUCCCAGAUUCACCCACUGACACAGACCCAUGAAGCUGAAGGGUAACAAAUUCCAGCACAGCAAGCAUAAUCUGGCCCUGGUUGGGUGUAAAGCCAGUAAGAAUCCAGGGUAAAAAACUGCUGCACUCAAUAAAAAUCACCUUUCCAAAUA
Long non-coding RNA from Passer domesticus (house sparrow), 782 nucleotides. RefSeq lists it as uncharacterized. The transcript has 3 exons. The record is from RefSeq and is a predicted model, not a curated record. Lineage: Eukaryota; Metazoa; Chordata; Aves; Passeriformes; Passeridae.